UAUAGAGGUGGCAAGCGUUGUUCGGAAUUACUGGGCGUAAAGGGCGCGUAGGCGGCCGCCUAAGUCAGACGUGAAAUCCCCAGGCUUAACUUGGGAACUGCGUCUGAUACUGGGUGGCUUGAGUUCGGGAGAGGAAUGUGGAAUUCCAGGUGUAGCGGUGAAAUGCGUAGAUAUCUGGAGGAACACCGGUGGCGAAGGCGGCAUUCUGGACCGAAACUGACGCUGAGGCGCGAAAGCCAGGGGAGCAAACGGG
Molecule: ribosomal RNA, 253 nt
Filed under: uncultured prokaryote
Description: partial 16S ribosomal RNA
Rfam family: Bacterial small subunit ribosomal RNA
Source: RNAcentral